GGAUUAGAUACCCUGGUAGUCCACGCUGUAAACGGUGCACAUUUGCCGUAGGGGGAAUUGACCCCCCCUGUGGCGUAGCAAACGCGUUAAAUGUGCCGCCUGGGGAGUACGGCCGCAAGGUUAAAACUCAAAGAAAUUGACGGGGGCCCGCACAAGCGGAGGAGCAUGUGGCUUAAUUCGAUGCAACGCGAAGAACCUUACCUAGACUUGACAUGUAACUGCACGACCGGUGAAAGCCGGUUUCCUUCGAGGGUGUUACACAGGUGCUGCAUGGCUGUCGUCAGCUCGUGCCG
RNAcentral lists this ribosomal RNA (293 nucleotides) under uncultured bacterium. RNAcentral describes it as "partial 16S ribosomal RNA". It matches the Rfam family "Bacterial small subunit ribosomal RNA", at positions 775 to 1067 of the family's 1533-position model. The record is from RNAcentral.